GAGCUGAUCCAGCAACGCCGCGUGAGGGAUGACGGCCUUCGGGUUGUAAACCUCUUUCAGUAGGGACGAAGCGCAGUGACGGUACCUACAGAAGAAGCACCGGCCAACUACGUGCCAGCAGCCGCGGUAAUACGUAGGGUGCGAGCGUUGUCCGGAAUUAUUGGGCGUAAAGGGCUCGUAGGCGGUUUGUCGCGUCGGGAGUGAAAACACUGGGCUUAACUCAGUGCUUGCUUCCGAUACGGGCAGACUAGAGGUAUUCAGGGGAGAACGGAAUUCCUGGUGUAGCGGUGAAAUGCGCAGAUAUCAGGAGGAACACCGGUGGCGAAGGCGGUUCUCUGGGAAUUACCUGACGCUGAGGAGCGAAAGUGUGGGGAGCGAACAGGAUUAGAUACCCUGGUAGUCCACACCGUAAACGUUGGGCGCUAGGUGUGGGGUCCAUUCCACGGAUUCCGUGCCGCAGCUAACGCAUUAAGCGCCCCGCCUGGGGAGUACGGCCGCAAGGCUAAAACUCA
Molecule: ribosomal RNA, 512 nt
Filed under: Nocardioides sp.
Lineage: Bacteria; Bacillati; Actinomycetota; Actinomycetes; Propionibacteriales; Nocardioidaceae
Description: bacterial SSU rRNA
Rfam family: Bacterial small subunit ribosomal RNA
Source: RNAcentral